RNAcentral lists this RNase P RNA (356 nucleotides) under Desulfopila sp. IMCC35006. Its description in RNAcentral is "Bacterial RNase P class A". It matches the Rfam family "Bacterial RNase P class A". Rfam says of the family: Ribonuclease P (RNase P) is a ubiquitous endoribonuclease, found in archaea, bacteria and eukarya as well as chloroplasts and mitochondria. Its best characterised activity is the generation of mature 5'-ends of tRNAs by cleaving the 5'-leader elements of precursor-tRNAs. Cellular RNase Ps are ribonucleoproteins. Lineage: Bacteria; Pseudomonadati; Thermodesulfobacteriota; Desulfobulbia; Desulfobulbales; Desulfocapsaceae. The record is from Rfam by way of RNAcentral.
CGGAGCGGGUGCAUGAUCGCUCCGGUCUUACGACCGGAGAGGAAAGUCCGAACUCUACAGGGCAGGGUGGUUCGUAACGCGAACGCCGGGCGACCGGGGGAAAGUGCCACAGAAAACAAACCGCCUGGAUCCAUCAGGUAAGGGUGAAACGGCGAGGCAAGAGCUCACCGCUUCCAUGGUGACAUGGGAGGCACGGCAAACCCCACCCAGAGCAAGACCAAAUAGGGAGAUGUUUGAGGGCGGCCCGUCCGAGAUCUCCGGGUAGGUUGCAAGAGGUGUUGAGCGAUCAACAUCCCAGUGAAAUGAUCAUGGCCCUUCACCGGGUACAGAAUUCGGCUUAUAGCCCGCUCCUUUUU